RNAcentral lists this long non-coding RNA (1222 nucleotides) under Homo sapiens (human). Its description in RNAcentral is "HSALNT0295777". Lineage: Eukaryota; Metazoa; Chordata; Mammalia; Primates; Hominidae. The record is from RNAcentral.
CACACCCAGCCUAUUAUUUCUAAUACAGUUUUUUUUUUGUUUUUUUUUUUACUAUUCUUACUUCUACAAGUUAUUUACAAGAUGAAUCAAAAGAUAGAUGAUAGAUAAAUAGACAGAUACAGAUAGAUAAUUAAAAGCGUCCAUUGGACCUAAAUGGUAAAAGGUGAUUAUUUUUCCUGGUAUUCUGAGGGUUAAGGCCUCACAUGAUUCCUGUAACUCUACAAGUUACUUAUUAGUUGAGUAAACCUGAAAGAGAUUAAGAAUUCGGUGGCCUUUGUGAGGCACUGCCCCACCCUGCCCACCAGGCUCUGCCGCUCCAUGGCAACUCCAGCCAGCUCCUCCCUCCCCCUGCCACCAGCUGGUGAAGUCACCAGAACUGCCACCCUCGGGCAUUGUGGGGCAAUGAAGGUGGGUGGAGGGAAUGAGGCACCACAACAGUAUUUCCCUCUAGCAGCUCCUGGGACUGGGUUUUCUGGCAUUUCUAUCUCCCCCAAAUAUCUGUAACAGGCGGUGUUCAUAUCUCUAAAUCAGAGUUCUGGCUGCUGAGGUAGCAGGACUGAGACCGGGGCUGGACCCUGACUGAGACCCAGGAGCCAGCAGCCUCUAGCCACUCCAGUCACAGGCACAGCCCAGGGACCCACCGCCACGCCCUCCUGCAAGAUAAAGGAAGCAGCAACUCAGACAUCAGGGUGGACACACCCACCAAAACACAAGGAGAGGCCCUGAAAAGUAACUGGAAAGUCACAGACCGUUCUGGCAAGUGGAGUUGAUGAGAAACAGGCCCCAGAGACUCGGAUUGGAGCGAGAGAGUUCCAUGGGCUCAGCUGGGAAAUGAGGCACAAGGAGCCAGCCCCAGAACAGAGACCCCUCCAAAGCCAACAGCUCCAGAACCGCCUCUUGCCACAACAUUCAAUGCCCUGGCUUUGAUGUUUUGUGUCUCUUGCUGACUCACAAACUUGGGAGGUAACUGGCUUUCCCUAUCAAAAAUUACUAACCCUUGAGGGGCAAUUUCGCGAUAGCUGUCAACAUUUUCAAUGUUCAUAAUCUGGACACCAUUGAUUCUGCCUACUUUCAGGGGUUUUUCCUCAGAUAUGCCCAGACAUACACAGGAUUUCUGGAUCAUUGAUUAGGGAAAAAAUGAUGCCAUCUAAUUGUCUUUCAUCAAGAACCCACUAUUUGGCUGGGUGCAGUGGCUCACACCUGUAAUCCCAGCACUUUAAGA